Molecule: ribosomal RNA, 486 nt
Filed under: Hypomyces rosellus
Lineage: Eukaryota; Fungi; Ascomycota; Sordariomycetes; Hypocreales; Hypocreaceae
Description: eukaryotic LSU rRNA
Rfam family: Eukaryotic large subunit ribosomal RNA
Source: RNAcentral
UGAAAUCUGGCCCCUCGGGCCCGAGUUGUAAUUUGUAGAGGAUGCUUUUGGCAAGGUGCCGCCCGAGUUCCCUGGAACGGGACGCCGCAGAGGGUGAGAGCCCCGUCUGGCUGGCCACCGAGCCUCUGUAAAGCUCCUUCGACGAGUCGAGUAGUUUGGGAAUGCUGCUCAAAAUGGGAGGUAUAUGUCUUCUAAAGCUAAAUAUUGGCCAGAGACCGAUAGCGCACAAGUAGAGUGAUCGAAAGAUGAAAAGCACUUUGAAAAGAGAGUUAAACAGUACGUGAAAUUGUUGAAAGGGAAGCGCUCAUGACCAGACUUGGGCUUGGCGAAUCAUCCGGCGUUCUCGCCGGUGCACUUCGCCUCGCUCAGGCCAGCAUCAGUUCGCGCCGGGGGACAAAAGCUUCGGGAAUGUGGCUCCCUCCGGGAGUGUUAUAGCCCGUUGCAUAAUACCCUGGUGCGGACUGAGGUUCGCGCAUCUGCAAGGAU